RNAcentral lists this ribosomal RNA (112 nucleotides) under Caerostris darwini. Lineage: Eukaryota; Metazoa; Arthropoda; Arachnida; Araneae; Araneidae. The record is from RNAcentral.
AACGGCCGUACCAUGCUGAAUAUACCGGUUCUCGUUUGAUCACCGAAGUUAAGCAUCAUUGGGCGCGGUCAGUACUUGGGUGGGUGACCACCUGGGAACACUGCGUGCCGUU